RNAcentral lists this ribosomal RNA (1520 nucleotides) under Klebsiella pneumoniae. Its description in RNAcentral is "bacterial SSU rRNA". It matches the Rfam family "Bacterial small subunit ribosomal RNA". Lineage: Bacteria; Pseudomonadati; Pseudomonadota; Gammaproteobacteria; Enterobacterales; Enterobacteriaceae. The record is from RNAcentral.
AGAGUUUGAUCAUGGCUCAGAUUGAACGCUGGCGGCAGGCCUAACACAUGCAAGUCGAGCGGUAGCACAGAGAGCUUGCUCUCGGGUGACGAGCGGCGGACGGGUGAGUAAUGUCUGGGAAACUGCCUGAUGGAGGGGGAUAACUACUGGAAACGGUAGCUAAUACCGCAUAACGUCGCAAGACCAAAGUGGGGGACCUUCGGGCCUCAUGCCAUCAGAUGUGCCCAGAUGGGAUUAGCUAGUAGGUGGGGUAACGGCUCACCUAGGCGACGAUCCCUAGCUGGUCUGAGAGGAUGACCAGCCACACUGGAACUGAGACACGGUCCAGACUCCUACGGGAGGCAGCAGUGGGGAAUAUUGCACAAUGGGCGCAAGCCUGAUGCAGCCAUGCCGCGUGUGUGAAGAAGGCCUUCGGGUUGUAAAGCACUUUCAGCGGGGAGGAAGGCGAUAAGGUUAAUAACCUUGUCGAUUGACGUUACCCGCAGAAGAAGCACCGGCUAACUCCGUGCCAGCAGCCGCGGUAAUACGGAGGGUGCAAGCGUUAAUCGGAAUUACUGGGCGUAAAGCGCACGCAGGCGGUCUGUCAAGUCGGAUGUGAAAUCCCCGGGCUUAACCUGGGAACUGCAUUCGAAACUGGCAGGCUAGAGUCUUGUAGAGGGGGGUAGAAUUCCAGGUGUAGCGGUGAAAUGCGUAGAGAUCUGGAGGAAUACCGGUGGCGAAGGCGGCCCCCUGGACAAAGACUGACGCUCAGGUGCGAAAGCGUGGGGAGCAAACAGGAUUAGAUACCCUGGUAGUCCACGCCGUAAACGAUGUCGAUUUGGAGGUUGUGCCCUUGAGGCGUGGCUUCCGGAGCUAACGCGUUAAAUCGACCGCCUGGGGAGUACGGCCGCAAGGUUAAAACUCAAAUGAAUUGACGGGGGCCCGCACAAGCGGUGGAGCAUGUGGUUUAAUUCGAUGCAACGCGAAGAACCUUACCUGGUCUUGACAUCCACAGAACUUAGCAGAGAUGCUUUGGUGCCUUCGGGAACUGUGAGACAGGUGCUGCAUGGCUGUCGUCAGCUCGUGUUGUGAAAUGUUGGGUUAAGUCCCGCAACGAGCGCAACCCUUAUCCUUUGUUGCCAGCGGUCCGGCCGGGAACUCAAAGGAGACUGCCAGUGAUAAACUGGAGGAAGGUGGGGAUGACGUCAAGUCAUCAUGGCCCUUACGACCAGGGCUACACACGUGCUACAAUGGCAUAUACAAAGAGAAGCGACCUCGCGAGAGCAAGCGGACCUCAUAAAGUAUGUCGUAGUCCGGAUUGGAGUCUGCAACUCGACUCCAUGAAGUCGGAAUCGCUAGUAAUCGUAGAUCAGAAUGCUACGGUGAAUACGUUCCCGGGCCUUGUACACACCGCCCGUCACACCAUGGGAGUGGGUUGCAAAAGAAGUAGGUAGCUUAACCUUCGGGAGGGCGCUUACCACUUUGUGAUUCAUGACUGGGGUGAAGUCGUAACAAGGUAACCGUAGGGGAACCUGCGGUUG